Small nucleolar RNA from Octodon degus (degu), 120 nucleotides. Lineage: Eukaryota; Metazoa; Chordata; Mammalia; Rodentia; Octodontidae. The record is from Ensembl.
AUGUUCUUCACAAUAAAAUAUUUUUUAAAAAAAUUUUAACACAAAAGGGUAAAGGAUGCCUCCAUAAAACCCAGACAAGAGCCUUAAAUUCCUCUUUGGAUCCUGUCUGGAGUCACAACU